Alligator mississippiensis (American alligator) is the source of this 7723-nucleotide long non-coding RNA. RefSeq lists it as uncharacterized. Lineage: Eukaryota; Metazoa; Chordata; Crocodylia; Alligatoridae. The transcript is spliced from 5 exons. The record is from RefSeq and is a predicted model, not a curated record.
CUAAAAACAGCCUAGUCAGAGUUGGGAGGCAGGUAGGAAGAGUGGGGAAGAGUAGCUGAGCUUUACCAGCCCUGGGGCUGUGCUCCAAACGUGAGCAGACAUUCAGUAGACCUAACUAAGCCACUCCAGAUCUAAGUUGGUUCGCCUCCAGAAAUGAACUAGUUUAGAUAGGGCCUGGUAUUUUUUUAAUCCAACUGAAUCUCCUCUAAUGUCUGCACAGAUGGUCAUUUACCUUAACCUAACCCCAGUUCGGCCAAUCUAAAUGUAAUGUCUGCAUGUACCCACUGCCCCUUGCUGCAUGGGGGCUUGUGAAGAGCCCCCCACAUGGGUUGGGGCAGCGGGGAUUGCUCCCCCCCCCCAACAGGAGCAAGAAGAGUCCGGGGUUUCUUUGGGGGGGGGUCUUAAAGGGCCAGAGCUGACCUGUGUGGGGCACCCGUGAGGUGGAUAGGGGAGGGGGGGGAUGGGAGAGCCCCCCCCCAUGCAGUUGGGGGGGCAGAGAGGGUUGCCCCCCCCCCAUGCCCACCAGCACCUGCAAAGCCAGGACUUUUUCCCCCCAGGUGCUGGGAACUGGGUGGGGCAGGGCAGCCAUUGCUUGGCUGGGAGAGUGGCCAGGGGAUGGGCCUGGCCUGGAUGACUCAGAGAUUUGGCCGAAUCAAAUCAGGACAGUGAUUCAAAUCACCAAAUCGAAUCGCUGUCUCCCAAAUCAUCCGAAUCCAAAGCAAAUACUACCCACUUCGCACAGGCCUGUUGGCUAACGAUCCCUGCAAGUGUUGGCUUGCUUCAGUAUCAGCGCUUGGCUCCUCCAACUGGGAACACUUCUGGUUCCUCUCCUUAGCUGCAGUUUGUUCAGGUUAGUUUGUAGAGUGAAUCAUUACAAUUCAGAAGUGUAUUUCUUUAGUGGCUUUAAUGUGGCACUUGCAUUAUGCCUUUGAACAAACAAAAGUGUAAGUUAUUACACUUCUUGCACAGCUACACUUUAAAAGACCGCUUUAUGAGGAAUAUUUCAAAGGAUCACAGCCAAGUGCAUGCAAAGUCCCAACAAAGCAAAUGGCAGUAAGAGCAAACAGGCAAGGCAACAGGUGCCAGCCAAGGUCUUCUACAAUUGAUUUUUCAGGUCUGAAUUGGCAGCCUCAGACACACUUCCAGCCCCUCCGGGGGCUCAUUGGAGUUCUGCUGCUGUUUCCUCCAUCAGAGACAGUGUCCCUAGGAAUUACUUAAGAUGGCAGCUGUUGGCACUGCUUCAGUAUAGUGGGAAGUCUGCUUUACUGCCUGCUGUCUUAAUGACACUAUGCACAAUGCUACCAAGUGGGGUUAGAAAUAUGAUGUACAGGGACUGACUUUCUGUAAUGGCUUCCAGUUUGUCUGUUUUUGCACUUGCAGAUAUGUGGUUCUGUGCCAGGUUUCUGUGUGUCCAAGCUUCUGUAGUGCCUGUUAUGUGCAUACUGUAGAUCCAGAAUUUCGAAUAACCCUGGGACUCCCUUCCAAAUGCUAUAUCACUGACUCUGCUUAUUGUGUACAUCUGGAUCAUACUCCACACUCUACAGUAGGUGUAGUCCUAGAAAAGGGGUGUAUUCAAAGCCUGCUUAAGUUGCUGGAUGGAGUCUUUUCACUGACUUUAAUGAGCUUUAGAACCGGCUCUUACAGUGCUUUCAUUUUCAAAGGCAUUGAGCUAUUGUUGAGGUUCAAGGAAAGCAAAAUGCUCUUGCUAAUUCCUUGUUUUAGACUCAUGUUCCUUGUGCUGCAUACAUUCUUAAGCUGAAGGAAAGAACCAAUCAAGUCCUAUUCUUCCUGUCUCUGAAUAUCCACUACCACUGGGAAAUAGUCUAUGCUGUGUGGCUAAGAAAAAUUCAUUCAGAAGGCCAUUUCUUUCAAGGCCUUGUUAUGAUGUUCCCUGUUAUUUUCAGUAUUGCCACUCUAAAUCUUCAUAUCAGCCCUCAAAAUAAGCAGACAAGCAUAUCAGGGGUCUAAAUGUGUCUGUUCACGGCUGUUUUAAAUGGCUGUGGAAACGUUUCUUAUGCAGAUAAUAAUAGUGAGUACAGCCAGAGAGGUUCCCUUUCAACUCAGGAAAACACAUUAGUACAAAAUAUGCAGUUGUGUUAGGUACUUGUUGCAUUAAGAUUUCACAGAAAGGAAUCCCAAAUUGAAGCCUAGAUCUUUCUGAGUUUGUGGGUUUAUUGUUGACAUGGUUAUAAAUGCACUGUAGAAACUAUUUACAAUUUAAUUCAAAGCGCUAGUCAUUCACUUUUUUUUGCAAAGCAAAUGCAUCUUAUUUAGUUGCCCAAAUUAGAGCUGCUUAAUGCUUAAAUGAGAAUGCUGUGAGCUUUUGAAGAUCUGUACCAAACUAUGGAGUGCAAGAGGUGCCUAAUUUUGAAACACUGAUGUGAAUAGCAGGGCAUACAUGCGAGUAGAUAUACUGUGCACGUUGUCUGCCUGUUAGCGUUGAAUGUAUGACCCAGUUAGCUUCUAUCCCAGCCAUUUCAUAGAAUCAUAGACAAUUAGGGUGGGGAGGGACCUCAGGAGGUCAUUUAGUUCAACCCCUUGCUCAAAACUUAUUUAUUUAGCCCCAACUAAUCGUCCUACCCAAGUCUUUUUUAUAGCCAGGUCUUAAAAACCUCCCAGGAUGCAGGGUCCUCAACAUCUCUGGGUAGCCUGUUCUAGUGCUUUACUCCUCUCCUUGUGAAAGAGUUUUUCCUAAUAUCUAACCUCAAAUUCCCUUGUUGCAACUUGAAACCAUUGCUUCUUGUUCUGUCAUCUUCCACUGCUGAGAACAGUCCGGCUCCAUCCUCUUUGCAACCACCCUUCUGGAAGUUGAAGGCUGCUAUCAAAUCUCCUCUCCCUCUGCCCUUCUCCAGAUGAAAUAAGACCAGUUCCCUGAGCCUCUCCCUAUAAGUGAUGUGCCCCAGCCCCCUAAAUCUUUUCAUUACCCUCUGUGGGGCUCUCUCCAGUUGUUCCACAUCCUUUCUGUAGCCAGGGGAUGGGAUCAAAACUGGACACACUACUCCAGAUAUGACCUCACCAGUUGUGAAUAGAGGGAAGAAUCACUUCCCUCAAUCUGCUGGCAGCACUUCUACCAAUGCAGCCCAGUGUGCCAUUAGCCUUCUUGGCAACAAAGGCACACUUUCUGGCUCAUAUUCAGCUUCUUGUCCAUUGUAACCCGCAGGUCCUUUUCUGCAGAGCUGCUGCCCAGCCAGUCAGUCCCCAACCUGUACCGGAGCAUGGGACUGUUCUGUCCUAAGUGCAGGACUUUGCACUUGUCCUUGUUGAACCUCAUGAGAUUUCUUUUCGUCCAAUCCGCCAGUUUGUUGAGGUCUCUCUUAAUCCUAGCCCUACCCUCCAGCGUAUCUACUGCUCCCUCCACCUUGGUGUCAUCUGUUGGUUGCCCCUAACAUACCAUUUGUACAUGAGGUUAUGAUUGCAGUCUAUUUAAAGUAUAUGUGCAUAUAUUUGGUUGUAAGCCCUGUUCCUGAAAGUACAAAAGCAUAUGAAUAGCUCCGCUGGAGGCUGAUACCAGAGAUCACUUUUUUGGGAGCCAGUAUAAUCCAAUUUUAGCUACGUAGCUACACUUAAAAUAGUCAGAAACAGUUUUUCAUUGCUUUUAAGCCACUGAACAUGAGAAGCAACAGGGGGUAGGUAGGUCCUUGUACUGUAUACUUAGCAGUGAUAAAAUAGUUCACAUAUUCCAAAGCUGUGUUUGGAGGAAAAAAAGGAAAGCUGUAUUUGGACAGUGUUAAUAAAAAUGAGCAGCUAAAAUAUAGAGAGGAGAAUAUAGACUCUAGGCUAAGGAGUGUGACACUUUCCCCUCAUCCAUUAUUUUCACUGGACUGGUGUUCUUUGGGGAAUAUGAAGAAUGAAGACCAAACCUGAGGGAAUGCAGGUGGUGAACUCAUCAGGGCUUGGUUCACUUUCGUGCAGAAGGCCAUGAUGAUAUGCCUUAGAAUAAGUAGCACUUUAUCAUGAUCCUUACCUUUUUAUAUAGCACUUUUCCAUUUUACAAAGGGAGUCACAAUCUUUUUCUUUGUUAUAGCUGGGGAAACUGAAGCAGAAGGAAGUGAAAUAACUUGGGUCAGUUGACCUGGUGGGUCAGUAGCAGAGCUGAGAAUAUGCAUGAGGUCUCUGGAGUCCUGUAAUUUUUCCCUUAGAUUCUGUUACUUCUCUUAAGUGGUGCCUUCUUGAACUCUUGCCUGCCCACAGGGUAAAUUUCUUGUGCUAGUGAAUGACUUAAACAACACUAGAGAAACAAGGCAUUGAAGAUACUGUGCAUUUUGUUAUGCUUUUUGUGGUUCACUUCUGGGUCUGCCGCUGAGCACACUGGAGAGCCCCCCGUGCGCCUGUGAGAUGCCCCAUCCACCCCACCAGUGCAGCGUUCACAAGUUGUGCCUGGGACCUCAAGUCCCUUUCAGGUGCUCCACGGCUUCAGCGUGAACUAAGAGAUUCCUGUUCAUGGAGAGGGUGGUUCAGGUGAUCAGUCUGAUCCGGCCUGCACUUGCAAUUCUUCCUUCGUUGUUCUGCAAGUAUAGUCGCCUCCAAAUUGGAACACCUGCUACACUGAUGUCACAGAGCCAGCAUCUAUGCUUAUACAAAGGGAAGAACAACAAUCUUUUUAUUGCUGUUAAGCAGAUUUGCCACAAAUUCCGUUUCCACUAAAACAUCAAAACACCAAGAACAAGGCCACAUUCCCCUCAAGGAAAUGGAUGGGGAGAGAGAAGAAGAAAUGCCCUGUGAUGCUGAUUCUACACAAGAGGCCUCCCUUUGGACAAUUCUUGAUUUCAGAGAUUAGCAGAUCCCCAAAUACACGGAAUUCAGUUCUCUUCCUCUUCCGCUUCUUCCAGAAGACCAUCUUCCUUUGAAUGCUGCUGCAGGAAAGGGAGUGCUUGGGCUGCCUCUGCUGCCAGGCAAGCAGAAACAGGCUGGGAAUUCCACAUGCUGACAGGACAGAACGUGGCAACACAAUGACCAGAGACCAAUCACCGAUGCCCAAAAAUGAAGAGUCAUCAGAGGGGGUAAAAGAUACCAAAAGAGGGGAUUUCAGAGAAGCAAAGGGUCCCUAGGAAGGGAACCUGAGGCCACCAUGGACAGAGGGUAUACCACCAACCUGUCUUAUCCACCCCAUGGUGGGGGGUCCUCAGCUUCCAGCCUCCAGGCUGCUGACAUCUCACAUUCAAGAGAGAACUUCAGAGUGAAGCUUGUGUACUGGCCAGAUGCACCAUGACUCUGUGAACCCUGGGACUGGUAGCUACAGAGGUGUUUGCCUUAUUCUUACCUGCUAUCACUGUGUAUCAAUACAAUUUGCCUAUGAUCAGAUGGUGAGGUUGUGGUCAGUCUGAGGGGUUGGGUGUGGCGGGCCAGUAGGUGGUGCUCCUGCACGGAGCCACCCACCUCACUGCUCCCAACCACCUUCCAGGCUCCGAGUGCCUCCCUGGGGGCAGCCCACAUCUAGCCGACCCCCUUCCUGGAGCCGCCACCACCCAGGGUCUGGCAUGAUCCUGGCUCUGUCCCCUGGGAAACACAGGUCUAGUACCCCUCGAGGGUACGUGACUCACUUCAAGAACUUGAGGUGCUCUCCUCAGUAUGAAGCACCAAUAGUGGUCUCCCUUAGGCAGCCGAACCGAGGCGGGGACCCCAAGGCCUAAUCUAGACCCACUCCCAGUAAGUCUCCUGUGCUAGGUACAAAGGAGCACUUUAUUGGUUACAAGAAGUAGGCUUGGAAUGGGGUACAGGGUUGAGCAGUAUCAGAGAAAUCCCUUAGAGCAAACAGGGGUAGCCUUUGAUCAUGCACCUGAGUUACUUGAAGCUAUAUAUCUGGUUAGAUCUCAGGUAGCUUACUCACGAGCAUCAACCAGAGGCAGGUGGAGAGUCUCUCUGGAGGCAGGCUGUUCAUUGAUCAUGAGUUUCAAGAGAGGGAGCCAGUUUCAGAUGGCCCAGCUCUUCUCUCUGAGUUUUCCUCAUGGCUACAACCCUCGUCCUGAGCAGUUCUUUACUUAUAUAACCCUUAUGACUUCGUUUACCUGGUCCAAUGGAGGCCAGCACCUGUUGGCUGCCAGUGAACCCACUGGAAACACAUCACUGGUUGCCAGGCAACCUGGCAGGGUCUCUAGCCCCCUCCCGGUCAGGUUGGCAUUGCUUAGGAGAAUAGGGAGCGUAUGCCUCUCACCCGGGGAGGUGAUGUCACUUAGGCAGAGGGAGCAGGUUUCCUCCUUCCCUUAGGAAUGUCUCAAACUCAGGUUCCCUAAAGAGAUGGGAUGUCUGCCCUCUGCAGGGCCCAUGUUAACCACAUUGUCACAGAACAGAGUUUUUGGGGAGAGACAGAGGUGGCAUUCUGCCACACAGAGUAUCUAUCUGGGUCAUAAAUCCAGUCCCGACCCCUUCUUCUGCCAGAAAGCCUGUAGGUGAGGCUUGGUAAGUCAUGUAAGAAAAAAAAAACUUUAAUAAAUGAUCAUAGAAUUGUAGAUCCAAAAGAGACCUCAGCAGGUUAGCCAGUCCCAACCCCCUGCCCGAAGUAGAAUUUGCCAUGAGUAAACCAACCCAGCUUAGUGUUCGUCUAACCUGGUCUUUAAAACUUCCAAGGAUGGAGAUUCAACAACUUCUCCGGUUAGCCUGUUCUGAUGCUUACCCACUUAAAUAGUAGGAAAGUCCCUCCUAAUAUGCAACCUAUUGACCCAAUAUGUGUGUUCUGUAUUUUGGGGGCGCUCACUUUUAAAUGUCCCAGAUCAGAAUGACUAGAGCCCUUGCAAUGGAGAAUGGGAGCUCCAUUCUGAACAUAGCAUGUGCUGUAAAAUGAAUCAGGAGCUCAGAAAAAUCAAGCCCUAGACUUCUCAACAGGGAUGAGUGGCUUUUUUUUUUUAGAUAAUUGUAUCUGUGGAUCUCUGCAUGUCUAGGAACUCCUUGUGUACGAUAGGGACACAAUUGGUCUGUUGGGAAGAGAAAUUCUUCAGUGUUUGUAAAACACUUAGACACUAUGAUGACAGCGCCAUGGAAAAUCCUAGUCAGUGACAGCAAAAACUGUUGGAUGGCAACUACUUUAGCCAUAAUUGUCUGUCCUAGGCAAAAAUUAAAAAAGAGGUCCUGUGAAAAAAAUGUGACCAUUUUAUUUCCAGCAACAUAUGUUAUUUACCAUACAGUAUUUAAAACCUACACUGAAUAUAGAAUUAAUCAAAUGUACACAUUCAUGAGGACAGAAGUACAUGGCAAUGGCAUGUAAUGCCAGUUGCAGAAAUUGUGUGAAAAUUUUAAUAGGGAAAGUUGGUGUGCAGAAACUAUUAAAUACUGUGCAUUUUCACUUUUCUUUCUCUAUACUAUCACAGGAAAAAUCCACAUUAGGGACUAAAUGGCCUGUAAAAUUGUAGUUGAGAUAAACUGAAUGUGAUGGAAAGACAAAGCUGAACAAUAGCAAGAAAUCCCCAAACAUAAAUAUAUAUGAGAUACUAUAAAUAUGUAUGAGGUAGUAGUACCUGAUAUAUAUUUCUGUUUUGGGUUUUUUUGCUGCUGUUCAGAUUUUUGUUUCCAUCACGUGUGUGUGUGUGUGUGUGUGUGUGUGUGUGUAUAUAUAUAUAUAUAUAUAUAUAUGAUGUGUGUGUAUCCUAGCCAAUUGGCCAUCAAGAAUGACAGGACGGUGGCUGGGACGGAACGCUGCCUCCCACCGGGCCAUGUUGCCGCCACUCUGCAUCCAACUGCAUGCAAACCCUCCCCCCUUGCUCUGUGUUCAGCCCUAUGCACCCCCCCCCCC